AUUCCAGCUCCAAUAGCGUAUAUUAAAGUUGUUGCGGUUAAAAAGCUCGUAGUUGGAUUUCUGUUGAGGUUGGGCGGUCCGCACUACGUGGGAGUAUCUGCCUCGGCCUUGGCAUCCUCUCGGAAAACGCUACUGUGCUUGAUUGCAUGGUGCGGGGUUCGGGACUUUUACUUUGAGGAAAUUAGAGUGUUCACGGCAGGCAAUCGCCCUGAAUAUAUUAGCAUGGAAUAAUAAUAUAGGAUCUGAUGCCUAUUUUGUUGGUUUCUAGACGUGAGAUAAUGAUUAAUAGGGACAAUUGGGGGGAUUCGUAUUAUGGCGUCAGAGGUGGAAUUCUUGGAUUGCCAUACGACGAACUACUGCGAAAGCAUUUCUCAGGGAUGUUUUCAUCA
RNAcentral lists this ribosomal RNA (389 nucleotides) under Syndiniales sp. Its description in RNAcentral is "partial small subunit ribosomal RNA". It matches the Rfam family "Eukaryotic small subunit ribosomal RNA", at positions 582 to 975 of the family's 1831-position model. Lineage: Eukaryota; Dinophyceae; Syndiniales. The record is from RNAcentral.